AUUUGGAUUUGAUCCAAUUUAUAAUUAGAGUAGGAUGUAUGUAUUCCUAAUUAGACUAGAAAUCUUUAUUUUCAUACUGCACCGAAUCUUAAUGGGAUUAGGAUUAAAUUCAGUACCAAGAAAAAGUCCCAUUGGACUAGGACUUCUCCAAUUAGGAGAUAUCUAAUCUAAAUAAAUUAGGCUCCAAAUCAGAUUUGAUUUUCUAUUUUUUUGAGUCUAAUCUAAUCUUAAUUUAAUUAGGAUUCAUUAAGAUUUAAUCGAUAUUUUUAUUUGAUUUAAAACAACCAAUUAAAAGAAGUCCCAUGUUCUUAAAACACUUUCUUUCUAUGUGCAAACAAGAUUCCAUGCCAUACUAUUUUGUGCGCCACACUUCCUCCACGCCAUAUCAGGUUUUCACGCCAAUCUUUCUUUGUUAUUAGCAUGUAAGAAAGGCUUUAAACUCCCUUUGUAUCAUGUGAAAAAUCUGGACGAACAAGUUUUGGUGGGACGGCAUUAAAAUCCUAGAGUCCUAACUUGUAUGGACUNNNNNNNNNNNNNNNNNNNNCUAACUUCUAUCCAAACUAGUAUUCUAUCCAAUGCCUAUAAAUAACCCACCCCUUAGACCAUUUUAUGUGGAUAACCAGCAGGUUUAGAUGCCCCAAAAAUCAGAGAUUUAUCAUGGGAACAAAGAAGAAAAAUUGGGACAGCAUGAAGGUUGGAGGCGUGAGAUGAGUUUGUUAUAAUCCCUUCUUUCUUGCAACAACCAAAGGGUUGGUUGUUAGGACAUCUAUUCUCUACCUUUUAUUCAUGUUUAGACAUGGAUGUCUCUUCCUUUUUUUUAUCCAAAAGUUGGACAAAAUUAUUACCUCUCUAUUGUAAAGAUUUGGUGCAUAGAUUUUAAGAAGAAUAGAGAAUAAAGGGUUCUUCUCAUGAUUUCUAGCAUAGAGAUCAAGAUCCUCCUACAUCUUCUUAUUCUCUAAGAGUGUCUUAGGAGAAAAGAAGAUUUUCAACCAUCAAAAUGCGAUCUCUGCAAGGGAGCUAGCAUUCUGGUGAGAUCAAAAAGUUUCUGAUCAGAUCAGAAUCUCGUGUGGAUAUCCGUAGAGGUCGGAUGCUUGUGCGACUAAAAGGAACAUUCGAAGGACAUCCAUGAUCAUCUGUUAGCAUUGAAGAUUGAUCCAUAUUCAGGUAUAUUUUUAAUUUAUUUUUUUUAUUUGAUUUCUAUAUCUGAAUCUUAUCUCACAUAUGAUGAUUCUGGUUAUGAUUUGAAGAUAUGAUCUUAUACAUACUUAGAUUAAAUUAGAUUUAAUCUGAAAAUUUUUAAAAUUUCACUACGUACUCUUUUUAUAUAAUCAUGUAUGCAUUAAACCAUGAAACUCUAACAAUGGUAUCAGAGCCACAUCAUAUAUAUGAGAUUUAGAUUUGAAAUCUGUAGAGAAAAAUUUCAGAUAUGAAAGAUUUUGAUGUCGUUCUGAUAUAAGAUUGUCCUGACAUAAUUUAUUAUGUUAUGCUGUAUGGUUGUCCUAGAACAAUGUUAAAAUUUUCAAUUAGAUUGUAUUUUUAAAUCUGAUUUUUAAAAGCAUAUAUGUGAUAUAUGUUUUGUUAUUUAGAUCUGAAAAGAGUUUCG
Molecule: long non-coding RNA, 1603 nt
Filed under: Elaeis guineensis (African oil palm)
Lineage: Eukaryota; Viridiplantae; Streptophyta; Magnoliopsida; Arecales; Arecaceae
Description: long non-coding RNA (EGUI_LNC065382)
Source: RNAcentral